UACGUAGGGGGCAAGCGUUGUCCGGAAUUAUUGGGCGUAAAGAGCGUGUAGGCGGUCCGGUAAGUCCGCUGUGAAAGUCCAGGGCUCAACCCUGGAAUGCCGGUGGAUACUGCCGGGCUAGAGUCCGGAAGAGGCGAGUGGAAUUCCUGGUGUAGCGGUGAAAUGCGCAGAUAUCAGGAGGAACACCGAUGGCGAAGGCAGCUCGCUGGGACGGUACUGACGCUGAGGAGCGAAAGCCAGGGGAGCAAACGGG
This 253-nucleotide ribosomal RNA is filed under the name uncultured bacterium. RNAcentral describes it as "partial 16S ribosomal RNA". It matches the Rfam family "Bacterial small subunit ribosomal RNA", at positions 524 to 776 of the family's 1533-position model. The record is from RNAcentral.